This 29-nucleotide non-coding RNA is filed under the name Rattus norvegicus (Norway rat). Lineage: Eukaryota; Metazoa; Chordata; Mammalia; Rodentia; Muridae. The record is from RNAcentral.
AUGUCACAGCGAUCGAGUCUAGAACUGUG